GGCUUCGUAGCUCAGCUGGUACAGCGCUAAUCGCUUUGAGGUAUAGUGUUUCUGUCGCUGGUUCGAAUCCAGCUGAAGCCC
Non-coding RNA from Paragonimus heterotremus, 81 nucleotides. NCBI's taxonomy places the organism in Eukaryota, Metazoa, Platyhelminthes, Trematoda, Plagiorchiida, Troglotrematidae. The record is from the annotation of a GenBank genome assembly.